RNAcentral lists this microRNA (22 nucleotides) under Homo sapiens (human). Its description in RNAcentral is "hsa-miR-4435". Lineage: Eukaryota; Metazoa; Chordata; Mammalia; Primates; Hominidae. The record is from miRBase by way of RNAcentral.
AUGGCCAGAGCUCACACAGAGG